RNAcentral lists this ribosomal RNA (232 nucleotides) under uncultured bacterium. Its description in RNAcentral is "partial 16S ribosomal RNA". It matches the Rfam family "Bacterial small subunit ribosomal RNA", at positions 91 to 339 of the family's 1533-position model. The record is from RNAcentral.
GCGAGUGGCGCACGGGUGAGUAACGCGUGGGGAUCUGCCUCGAAGUGGGGAAUAACCGCUGGAAACGGCGGCUAAUACCGUAUACGCCCUCAGGGGGAAAGCUUUAUGCGCUUCGAGAUGAACCCGCGUCGGAUUAGCUAGUUGGUGAGGUAAAGGCUCACCAAGGCGACGAUCCGUAGCUGGUCUGAGAGGAUGAUCAGCCACACUGGGACUGAGACACGGCCCAGACUCC